AUGGACAUGACUCGGAACACGAGAACCACGAGAGAACUUGGCUCCGCAAACUUACAAGAGAGAUUACAUUUCCCCUUUGAAGUUUGUGAUGUCGUUGGGGUUUUGCUUGUUUGUUUGUUUGGCUCCUUUGGGUUAGUAGGAUAUUCCCCCCCCCCGCCAGCAAACGUGCUCAUCAUUUCAGCCACAAAUCUGGGAAAGCUUUUUCCUUCCCCCAGACCUGCCACUUUUCCUCCCGCCGUGUCCCUGGCGGGGAGGAGACACGCCAGCCCCACUCCCCGGUCACUGCGCACCCCGGCUCCCCCCGCGCUGCUCUCUCCUCGCCUGUGUGGACAAGAUCCGCCUCACCCCAACCAGGCCCGCUCCCCAAGGUCAUGAAUGCAAAUGUAGCCUGCCGGCGGUGAAUGGGCUGAAUUGUGAUUAAGAAGAAGAAGAGCUCCUUUCUUUGUUCUCCCCUCAGGGGAUGUUUACUGGGAGAGACACAGCGGAUCAGAUAUGAAAGGCAUUCAGGUCAGCAUUGAUGUGAGCGAAAGUGAAAUCAUACCUAAGGCAUUCAAAAGACCGCCGUGUCAGGGGUUCAGCUAACGGUGCAUCUACUGUGUGUGUCUUCCCUGUUAGGCAAAAAAAAAAAAAAAAGAAAAGAGAAAGAAAAAGAAAGAAAAAGGAAAAAAAAGGAAAAAAUUCCCACAACAAGGCAAUUUAAAAAAAAAAUCACAACAAAUUUAUAUUUAAAGAAAAAAGUUUCUCUCUCCCCCGCCAGGUUUACCACCCCAUCAGGACGCACAGGACUUAGGGGCCUCUUCCCUGAUGAACUAACUAGGUAAUCCUGGAAAAACUGUAGGAUUUGGGAUCAUCUUUUUAGGGGAGAAGGAUCGUGUCUGAAACGAGACAUCUUUUCCCCUGGGUGCAUCCCUAUGUACUGUCUACAUAUACUACAACGAUAUGGCCAAUACAUGUGUGCGUAUAUAUAAUUAUUUAUAUAUACAUAUAUAUUAUAUAUGGCUAAUUAAUAUAUAUCUAGCAACUGAUCGGACUCAAGAAGAUGCGAGGCUUGUAUUCAAACCUGAAAUCGUAGACAUGUGGCAUCAUUUCUCGCCUCCCUCAGAAGCAACUUAAAGGAUAAGAGACAGUGUGACAUAUAAAAACAUACAGCACACCUUACAAAGUAAUCUUUUAUUGACUUUGCAACUCCUAGGAACACUUUGCUGAUAGCUUACAGCAGGGAACGACUGUAGCCAAAGACAGAAGUUGGUACACAGCUCUUUAAGUUAAAAGGCUUCAAGGAAAGUCUAGUCAGCAUCAUAAUUUUUUUCAUUAAAAAUGCUUGAUGAAGAAAUAUUUGGAUCUUACUUUUUUAAGUUUAUACUCCCCACAGCCUAAAUAGUCUUUCAAUAGAUUUUCCAAGUGGUUAGCUGAGGCUGUUGGCAUAAACAGAGAUAUGUAAAUAUAUAGAAGAAAAUCACAAAUGACAGUUAAGCAUACAAAGAGUUAGGAGGUGGUUGCGAUUACAGAGCUGAAAGGAAAAUGAAAACCAGAAAUCAUUAAAAAGGACUAAAAAAUUAAGCACCAGGACUAGAUUUAGUCACGUUGCAAUAACCACCCUCUCUGUCGUGACUUUUUUUACACCUUUAGAAUCCGAGCUAAAAUAUGUAGUUUGCCUAAUGUUGCCAUCUCAUUUACUGGUGACGUUUAAUUCUGAAAUAUUUUCAACUAGUGUUUCUGCAUCACAGAUUUCUCUCCUUUUUCUCCAUACUCUAAAAAGACAACUAAAGAGCAAUCAAAAAGGUGUCUGACUUGGCCAUUCAGACAAUUGCACCCUUGUGGGAAUGCUGGAAUGAAUGGUACAGUGGACACCCCAGCACUAUUGACGUUAUAAACAUGUAAAUGAAACACAUUAGGGCAGACAAUCAAUUGUCUGUGAGCACUGCAAACCUGCACUCCCUUUCUAUGUGACAGGCACAAAAUAGUGUCUACCUUGGGAAGCCAUGGUCUUGGAAAAAAAGGACAAAGAGUUCUCUUUCACAGAGGAGAAAAUGCACCUUAAAAGCACUGGGAUAAUGCAGAUGCCAAAAACUGUGUGGCGAAGAAUUUCCUAUUUCUUGGAACGAAUGUGGAGCUGCUGCAAAAGAAGCAAGACUCUUCUUCCCACUUUAAGAGCAGGCACACAUUUUUUUAGGGAAUAUUUUCAGCCUGGCUUUAUAGCUUGUUUCUCAGCCUCCCAUAUAUUUUCUUUACCUUGGGCAGUUUACCAUAGAUAUUUAUUUAACAAUGAACUUUCAACUCUGUUUCCUCAUUUUUAAAGAAAUAUUGAUUCGUAUGGUCCUUUUUUUUUAUUUGACAGAAACUAGAAAUUCAAAAAAAAAAAAAAGUUUCCUUGUCAGUUAUGUGCAAUAGGGAAAAAUAUAUAUGCAAAAGCAGUCAGAGUAAUUAAAGAACAGCAUACACUAAAUCAGUCACUAAAACCCAAAUUCCCUCUUUUCCCCCCAAACUCGAAAAUAAAAUAAACAGAUUAAUCUUGACA
Long non-coding RNA from Crocodylus porosus (Australian saltwater crocodile), 2518 nucleotides. The record is from Ensembl. NCBI's taxonomy places the organism in Eukaryota, Metazoa, Chordata, Crocodylia, Crocodylidae.